Molecule: ribosomal RNA, 337 nt
Filed under: uncultured soil bacterium
Lineage: Bacteria
Description: bacterial SSU rRNA
Rfam family: Bacterial small subunit ribosomal RNA
Source: RNAcentral
CAGAUUGAACGCUGGCGGCAUGCCUUACACAUGCAAGUCGAACGGCAGCACGGGAGCAAUCCUGGUGGCGAGUGGCGAACGGGUGAGUAAUACAUCGGAACGUGCCCAAUCGUGGGGGAUAACGCAGCGAAAGCUGUGCUAAUACCGCAUAAGAUCUACGGAUGAAAGCAGGGGAUCGCAAGACCUUGCGCGAAUGGAGCGGCCGAUGGCAGAUUAGGUAGUUGGUGAGGUAAAGGCUCACCAAGCCUUCGAUCUGUAGCUGGUCUGAGAGGACGACCAGCCACACUGGGACUGAGACACGGCCCAGACUCCUACGGGAGGCAGCAGUGGGGAAUUU